AUGGAGAGAUACAAGGAGCAAAAGAAGGACUUGCAUAUGGUGUUCAUUGACUUGGAGAAGGCCUAUGAUAAGAUACCGCGGAAUGUCAUGUGGUGGGCCUUGGAGAAACACAAAGUCCCAGCAAAGUACAUUACCCUCAUCAAGGACAUGUACGAUAAUGUUGUGACAAGUGUUCGAACAAGUGAUGUCGACAAUGAUGACUUCCCGAUUAAGAUAGGACUGCAUCAGGGGUCAGCUUUGAGCCCUUAUCUUUUUGCAUUGGUGAUGGAUGAGGUCACAAGGGAUAUACAAGGAGAUAUCCCAUGGUGUAUGCUCUUUGCGGAUGAUGUGGUGCUAGUUGACGAUAGUCGGACAGGGGUAAAUAGGAAGUUAGAGUUAUGGAGACAAACCUUGGAAUCGAAAGGGUUUAGGCUUAGUAGAACUAAAACCGAGUACAUGAUGUGCGGUUUCAGUACUACUAGGUGUGAGGAGGAGGAGGUUAGCCUUGAUGGCCAGGUGGUACCUCAGAAGGACACCUUUCGGUAUUUGGGGUCAAUGCUUUAG
This 543-nucleotide ribosomal RNA is filed under the name Triticum aestivum (bread wheat). RNAcentral's name for it is "partial small subunit ribosomal RNA". The record is from RNAcentral. Lineage: Eukaryota; Viridiplantae; Streptophyta; Magnoliopsida; Poales; Poaceae.